Molecule: ribosomal RNA, 229 nt
Filed under: uncultured bacterium
Lineage: Bacteria
Description: partial 16S ribosomal RNA
Rfam family: Bacterial small subunit ribosomal RNA
Source: RNAcentral
UCCGUAGGUGGAUCAAUCAGUCAGAGAUGAAAUCCUGCAGCUUAACUGUAGAACUGCCUUUGAUACUGUUGAUCUUGAGUCAUUAUGAAGUGGUUAGAAUGUGUAGUGUAGCGGUGAAAUGCAUAGAUAUUACACAGAAUACCGAUUGCGAAGGCGGAUCACUAAUAAUGUACUGACACUGAGGGACGAAAGCGUGGGGAGCGAACAGGAUUAGAUACCCUGGUAGUCC